AGCUGCAAAUAGAUGCUAAGGCGAAAUAUUCAAUUCGACUUUACGGAGAGUUAGUAGGUGGAGUUACAGCAGCGGUGGAGCGAGCGCAUCCGUCAUUGAGGAAAGCAGGUCACUACUAAAGGCGAAAUUUCUCGUCCACCAGGCUCCGACGCGAAAUCUCUCUUAGCGAUUUUCCCCUCCGCUUUCCAGCGGAGAAAACGGCCGUUCCCACUGGAGUUUAUCUGAGGUCAUCUACUAAACGCGAAAAUUCUCGUUCGCCGGGCUCCGACUCGAAAUCUCUUAGCGAUUUUCCCCUCCGUUUUCUAACGGAGAAAACGGCUGUUCCCACUGGGGUCUGAGCUAAUGGAGUCAGUUUCAUGUGUCGACUAGCUCCGUUAUGCCUGCAGUUUAGAUUUUCAACUUGCUGCCCUAUGAUGAAAACCUGGUUUUGGAGAUGGAUCAGCUAAGUCCGUUAGAUAAAAAACAUCCCAGUAGUAAAGGCCCUUAAUACCAAACUGUUACAUUACGUCUAUGGAAACUUUGUAUAUAUAGAUGUGCUUUGACACGACUACGCUAGCGACGUAGAACGAAACACACGUCGCAUGCGAAAAGUCAUCCAUACGAAAGGUUCGUAAAGUGAAUGUUGUUUUGUUGAAUGUGAAACUUGAAAGGCAGUUUAAAGUGAAAGUUGAAAGAUCCCAAACAGAGACGAGCGAAGUUUGCGGUCAGCCAAUAGAAUCAUUGCAGAGGAAAAAAUUCAGGUCAUACUGGUAGAAGGCUUCAAGAGCAAUAUGUUUCAUCAGCUGUUCAUUUUUUCCUGCCGGGGGGGCUACACCAGGGCUGUUACGGCGAAGAUUGCUGUUGACAGAGGGAAGACGUGUGAUUUGGAGCUCCGCAGUUGACAGCGAUAAUUAGCGAAAGUUUCGUCACAGUAUUCUAAUUUUUGUUUUUAAAGUGUGCGUGCAAUGGUUCUUCAGUUGUUAGUGCUUUUGUGAUUUGUGCUUUAUGUAGAUUAUGACAGCGUCCUUCACGUGUUUCAACAUUGUGCUGUGUUAUAUAAGUGUAUAUUAGUACAUCGAAAAUUUUUUAAGUCCAGAAAAUAGUGGUUAAGUUAUAAAAAAAUAUUAUCUCUGGAUUAUCACGUCUUAGUGAUCUGCACGCAUAACGGUCAAGGUAGGCAAAUUUUGUUCUGUCUAUUGAACUGUGUAUUAUUCUGUUAUAUUAAACGGCUCUUGUUAUAUCAAUCGUAGAUUUAUUUAUAAAUUUUGCGUAACUUUGCCUCUUGCUUACUAACAAUUUGCGUCAGACAUAUUGGCAUUUUGCACGCAACAACAACUCGUCCUUGAGGAAGGUCGAGGUUAUACACAGUUCAAUAGCGCCUAGUAAUAAGCAAGUCUUUCAAUGAUAUUUGAGUGCCAUUAUGUAUUCGUAUGAUUCUUAGUAUGUUCAAUUUUAAAUUUCUGUGCUCUUGUUUAUUAAUAUUUCGUACUACUUGAUUUAAUUGCAUCCGUCUUAUUUUUCAUUGUAUUUAAUAUUUUGAUACAUGUUGGUUCCCUUAAUGUUAACUCAAUAGACUAAUCCCAAAUGCUCAUAUACAAAAGAAUUAUGCUACAGUUUAGGUUUUUUUUUCUAUAUAUGUAAAACGUCAGUAAAGGAAGAUUUGUGGAAUAACUUGUAAAAAUUCAAAUUAAAAUUUUUAAAAAUUUUUAAA
This 1690-nucleotide long non-coding RNA is filed under the name Stegodyphus dumicola. RNAcentral's name for it is "uncharacterized LOC118184985". Lineage: Eukaryota; Metazoa; Arthropoda; Arachnida; Araneae; Eresidae. The record is from RNAcentral.